Molecule: ribosomal RNA, 541 nt
Filed under: Porina lucida
Lineage: Eukaryota; Fungi; Ascomycota; Lecanoromycetes; Ostropales; Porinaceae
Description: SSU rRNA
Rfam family: Bacterial small subunit ribosomal RNA
Source: RNAcentral
AUCUAUUAGUCUUGACCAAAUCAUGUGCCAGCCGUCGCGGUAAGACAUGGAAGACGAGCGCUAUUCAUCUUUAACAGGUUUAAAGGGUACUUAGACAGUUAAUUAAGCCUACAUAAGGGACUGACUAACUAGAGUUUAAUAGGAAAAGGAUAGAACGGUAUGUGGAGAGAUAAAAUAUUUUGAUACUUGCUAAAAUCUGACAACGGCGAAGGCAACCUUUUAUGUAAAAACUGACGUUAAAGGACGAAGGCUAUAAAUAAAGAAUAGGAUUAGAUACCCUAGUAUUCGUAGCAGUAAAUGAUGAGUGUCAUAGGUAAGUAAUAGCUUGCGUAUAAAUGAAAGUGUAAACAUUCCACCUUAAGAGUAAAAUGGCAACAUAGGAACUGAAAUCAUUAGACCGUUUCUGAAACCAGUAGUGAAGUAUGUUAGUUAAAUUGAUGAUCCACAAAGAACCUUACCACAAUUUGAAUGUAAAUUCACAGGAGUUGCACGGCUGUCUUCAGUUGAUAUCGUGAGAUUUUGGUUAGCUCCAUUUAAUCAA